AUACUUACCUGGCAGGGGAGAUACCGGGAUCAAGAAUGCGGUUCACCCAGGGCGAGGCUCAGCCAUUGCACUUCGGCUGUGCUGACCCCGUUCGCGCUCUCCCCUGAUUUUUUUUUUUGGGGGGCAGUGGUGGCCUAGCGGUUAAGGAAGUGGCCCCGU
Molecule: small nuclear RNA, 159 nt
Gene: U1
Rfam family: U1 spliceosomal RNA
About the family: U1 is a small nuclear RNA (snRNA) component of the spliceosome (involved in pre-mRNA splicing).
Source: Ensembl